This 253-nucleotide ribosomal RNA is filed under the name uncultured bacterium. RNAcentral's name for it is "partial 16S ribosomal RNA". It matches the Rfam family "Bacterial small subunit ribosomal RNA", at positions 524 to 776 of the family's 1533-position model. The record is from RNAcentral.
UACGAAGGGGGCUAGCGUUGUUCGGAAUUACUGGGCGUAAAGGGCGCGUAGGCGGCUUCGCUAGUCGGGCGUGAAAUGCCUGGGCUUAACCCGGGAAUUGCGUUCGAUACUUCGAGGCUAGAGUGUGGGAGAGGUUGGUGGAAUUCCCAGUGUAGAGGUGAAAUUCGUAGAUAUUGGGAAGAACACCGGUGGCGAAGGCGGCCAACUGGACCACAACUGACGCUGAGGCGCGAAAGCGUGGGGAGCAAACGGG